GAUGAACGCUGGCGGCGUGCCUAAUACAUGCGAGUCGAGCGAACAGACGAGGAGCUUGCUCCUCUGACGUUAGCGGCGGACGGGUGAGUAACACGUGGAUAACCUACCUAUAAGACUGGGAUAACUUCGGGAAACCGGAGCUAAUACCGGAUAAUAUAUUGAACCGCAUGGUUCAAUAGUGAAAGACGGUUUUGCUGUCACUUAUAGAUGGAUCCGCGCCGCAUUAGCUAGUUGGUAAGGUAACGGCUUACCAAGGCAACGAUGCGUAGCCGACCUGAGAGGGCGAUCGGCCGCACGUGAGCGGGGACACGCUCCAAACUCCUACGGGAGGCAGCAGUAGGAAAUCUUCCGCAAUGGGCGAAAGCCUGACGGAGCAACUCCGCGUGAGUGAUGAAGGUCUUCGGCUCGUAAAUCUUUGUUAUUUGGGAAUAACAAAUGUGUAAGUCACUAUGUACGUCUGGCCGGUACCUAAUCAGAAAGCCACGGCUAACUACUU
This 496-nucleotide ribosomal RNA is filed under the name uncultured bacterium. RNAcentral describes it as "partial 16S ribosomal RNA". It matches the Rfam family "Bacterial small subunit ribosomal RNA", at positions 28 to 506 of the family's 1533-position model. The record is from RNAcentral.